This 75-nucleotide transfer RNA is filed under the name Candidatus Iainarchaeum sp. Its description in RNAcentral is "tRNA-Glu". It matches the Rfam family "tRNA". From Rfam's summary of the family: Transfer RNA (tRNA) molecules are approximately 80 nucleotides in length. Their secondary structure includes four short double-helical elements and three loops (D, anti-codon, and T loops). Further hydrogen bonds mediate the characteristic L-shaped molecular structure. tRNAs have two regions of fundamental functional importance: the anti-codon, which is responsible for specific mRNA codon recognition, and the 3' end, to which the tRNAs corresponding amino acid is attached (by aminoacyl-tRNA synthetases). tRNAs cope with the degeneracy of the genetic code in two manners: having more than one tRNA (with a specific anti-codon) for a particular amino acid; and 'wobble' base-pairing, i.e. permitting non-standard base-pairing at the 3rd anti-codon position. Lineage: Archaea; Nanobdellati; Candidatus Iainarchaeota; Candidatus Iainarchaeia; Candidatus Iainarchaeales; Candidatus Iainarchaeaceae. The record is from RNAcentral.
GCUCCUGUCGUCCAGCCCGGUCAAGGACACGAGGCUUUCAACCUUGUAACCUGGGUUCAAAUCCCAGCAGGAGCA